Alnus glutinosa is the source of this 87-nucleotide small nucleolar RNA. Lineage: Eukaryota; Viridiplantae; Streptophyta; Magnoliopsida; Fagales; Betulaceae. The record is from RefSeq and is a predicted model, not a curated record.
UCUCUGUGAUGAUGAUAAUGAUUAUGAUGACGAGUCCGAUUUAUCCAUUCAACCAUGACGACAGAUCGAGGCAUUUGUCUGAGAGAA